Long non-coding RNA from Vespa mandarinia (Asian giant hornet), 707 nucleotides. NCBI's taxonomy places the organism in Eukaryota, Metazoa, Arthropoda, Insecta, Hymenoptera, Vespidae. The record is from RefSeq and is a predicted model, not a curated record.
UUCUCUCUGACUUUCUUGCAUCAAAGAUGUAAAACGAAAUUAUUAGUCAAUCAAUCAACGUCAUUCUAAAGUCUAUCGUGAGUUUAUAUUGAAAAGAGAAGGGAGGGAAAAGUGGCAAUAAAGAGGGAAACGAUUACGAGAAGAGACGUGUAUAUAUAUAUAUGUAUAUAUAUAUAUAUGCAUGUGUAAAUAAGUACACACACACACACACACGUACAUUUACUGGUGGCCUUAAGCACAGGAGACGUGCGAACUUCCGGGGGACGUCAAACGGGGAAAGUGAAGAUCCACGUGCUUCUUGAAAAGGAGGGGAGAGAAAGAUAAAAAAGAGAAAGAAAGAGAAAGAGAGGGAGAGAGAGAGAGAGAGACAGAAAGAAGGGAGAAACGUUGUUGGGCGCCAGAGAGACGAGAGAAAACGUUUCUGACGUUUCGUAGACCACGCGAGAGAGGCAGCACGUUGUGCGAGAGCUCCAUUUGUCCGGUUGUUGGUAGUAAGAGGUGGAGAAGUUGGUGAAGGAGGAGCAGGAGAAGGGAUAAAAAAAAGAGUAGGAGGAGGAGGAGAAUGGAGAAGAACGUAAGAGGGCAAAGAGAGGGCAGGUAGGCGCGUGCCACUUAAAACCACUGCGAGAAACGCGGUCGUAGCCUCGGCACGUUGCUCUGUGUAUGGCACGGCAAGGCACGCAAGAAAUUUGAACACGUAAGAAAUU